This 83-nucleotide small RNA is filed under the name Marmota monax (woodchuck). The record is from RNAcentral. Lineage: Eukaryota; Metazoa; Chordata; Mammalia; Rodentia; Sciuridae.
ACUGGGCAUGGUGGCCCAUGCCUGUCAUCCCAGCAACUCAGGAGGCUGAGGCAGGAGGAUCAUGAGUUCAAAACCAGCCUCAG